Molecule: long non-coding RNA, 450 nt
Filed under: Olea europaea (common olive)
Lineage: Eukaryota; Viridiplantae; Streptophyta; Magnoliopsida; Lamiales; Oleaceae
Description: long non-coding RNA (OEUR_LNC001804)
Source: RNAcentral
CUACUCACCCAAAGGCCAGACCUAAAGCAUUUGGAGAGGUGCAGGUUGCUAGUAAUGUCCCUGGGGUCGAGUUGUUGGAACAAGAUGAUGAUGGCAGUGGUGAUGACAUUGAUGAGGAUGGGGGAUACAGUGGCUUGUCGGAUGAUGAUAAUGAAAAUGUUCCUAUUGAAGAAGGUGAUUCUCAGUAUGAAUCUGGUGGGUCCAGUGAUGACGACUUUGUUUCUGAUGGUGACAGUGGUGAAAAUGAUGUACAAGAGGAUGAAGAAGUGUCUGAUAGCGAUAAUGAUAAUAAAGCUGCUGAUCAGGCAGAUGACAUUAGUGAGUAUGAGUGUGAUGAGGAUGAGGAGCUAGAGGACUCUACAUCUUUACUGCAAUCUGAUGAUGGAACUGCAAAGGACAAUAUAUCUAAAGCACAGAAGAGGAAGUUUUCUGAUUUUGAUGGACAACUGA